UACGUAGGGUCCGAGCGUUGUCCGGAGUUACUGGGCGUAAAGGGCGCGCAGGCGGCGGUGCUGGCCCGGCGUGAAAGCCCCCGGCUCAACCGGGGAGGGUCGUCGGGGACCGCACCGCUUGAGGGCGGUAGGGGCUGGUGGGAUGCCUGGUGUAGUGGUGAAAUGCGUAGAGAUCAGGCGGAACACCCGUGGCGAAGGCGGCCAGCUGGGCCGACCCUGACGCUGAGGCGCGAAGGCGUGGGGAGCGAACGGG
Molecule: ribosomal RNA, 253 nt
Filed under: uncultured bacterium
Lineage: Bacteria
Description: partial 16S ribosomal RNA
Rfam family: Bacterial small subunit ribosomal RNA
Source: RNAcentral